Chinchilla lanigera (long-tailed chinchilla) is the source of this 1114-nucleotide long non-coding RNA. RefSeq lists it as uncharacterized. The record is from RefSeq and is a predicted model, not a curated record. The transcript has 3 exons. Lineage: Eukaryota; Metazoa; Chordata; Mammalia; Rodentia; Chinchillidae.
GGGGUCACUUCCGGGGGAGUUUCGCUUCCGGUGUCGGAGGCGGUCCCCUGAGCAGGAAGAGGGGUUCCUGCUGCAGCCCUCUCCCCCGCGGAGGGGAGCAUCUCAAGUGCCUCGGAGGACCGCGCCGGACUCAGUCGCCCCACCGCGCACGUGUGGGCUGAGGACCGAGCCUCGCGGUUGUAUCUCUAGGACAGUUUCUGUCCUUAGUAGUGUGUCACGUGCACCAGCCUGUCACCGCCGGGUUUCGGUCCUCGCGGCCUUCCAGCCCACCUUUGCCCACGCUCCUGGUCUCAGGCAAGACCCAUUGAUUCCAGGUAAAUCGGAAGAACAAGCAUCAUGAGGCAUGGCACACACGUGGAAAACGCUACUGCGCUGAAGCACCUGCUGUCUCAGAAGCCGUUGAUGUGAUGUGGUACCCUUAACAAUAGAGAAUACACGAAAUUCGUCCCCAAAGCAUCCAUUUACUCAUGCUUACAUUGGAACUGAGGAGGAGCCCAGCCCUCAGCAUGAAAGCCCUGGGCAGAUGCAUGCAGCGCAGGAGCACUGAGGAAGUUCGCUUUCUUCAAGGAUUGUUACCCAGUAUCUCCAAGGUCAAAUCUCCCCUGGUAGGGUCUCCCUCCUCCUCCUCCUCUGAGCCUUCAGAAUGAAAUCUUGCUAUCAUGGGAGUCAUUUUCUGAAAACGUCAACAAUUCAUCUAGCAAAGACAGGAAGGUCACCUGUUUUGUUGCGGGCGGCAGUUACUAGGGUUGAAAGUGGGGUGCGACCUUAAGUAGUCGCUUUCCUUUAUUGAUUUGUUUGGAUUGAGCCCAGGGCUGUACACACGCUAGGCCUGUGCCCCCAGCCUACUCGUUUCUUAAUUUGAGACAAUGCCUUGCUAAGCUGCCCAGGCCGACCUGGAAUUUGACGAUCUACCUGCCUUAGCCUCCCAAGAGCCAGCCUUGCCGUGAUACCUUACCAACUCAUUUUCCUUUUCAGGAGAAAAUGGAAGGAUUUUAUUUUUUUCCCUGUUUUUAUGCCAGAAGAAUACCAUUUGUUAAUUCUAAACUAUAUACUUCUAAAAAGUAUGACAAAUUUCAGAGAGCCAAGUUUCAAAAACAUUUAAUAAAAGACUAUU